Molecule: long non-coding RNA, 369 nt
Organism: Ornithodoros turicata
Lineage: Eukaryota; Metazoa; Arthropoda; Arachnida; Ixodida; Argasidae
Exons: 5
Source: RefSeq, a predicted model, not a curated record
UUAUUUCCAGUUCUUGAGAGUGCUCGAGGCAUAUGCUAUAUAUCAGGGUCCAGCGCUAGUUUUUUUUUCUUCUGUCAACUUAAGAAAGUUUUGAAACGUGCUCCAGCCUCACAUUGUCUUACCGGUUUCAUAUUUGUACUGCUCAGCCUGAGAAAAGUUCUUAAGGGUGCUCGAGGCACAUGUUUUUUAUCCGAAUCCAGCACUAGUCCAUUUUCACGUUCAUACGAAAGUUUUGAAAGGUGCACCAGCCUCACGUUGUCUGUUUCAUGUUCAUAUUACUGAGACUGCGAAAGUUUUUCAGUGUGCUCCAUGGGCCACUAUAUCUCACGCCACCAGAGCUAGUUUUAUUUCUGCUUUUAUAGUUUGUGC